GAUGAACGCUGGCGGCGUGCCUAAUACAUGCAAGUCGAGCGAACAGACGAGGAGCUUGCUCCUCUGACGUUAGCGGCGGACGGGUGAGUAACACGUGGAUAACCUACCUAUAAGACUGGGAUAACUUCGGGAAACCGGAGCUAAUACCGGAUAAUAUAUUGAACCGCAUGGUUCAAUAGUGAAAGACGGUUUUGCUGUCACUUAUAGAUGGAUCCGCGCCGCAUUAGCUAGUUGUUAAGGUAACGGCUUACCAAGGCAACGAUGCGUAGCCGACCUGAGAGGGUGAUCGGCCACCUGGGAAGUGAGACACGGUCCAGACUCCUAAGGGAGGCAGCAGUAGGGAAUCUUCCGCAAUGGGCGAAAGCCUGACGGAGCAACGCCGCGUGAGUGAUGAAGGUCUUCGGAUCGUAAAACUCUGUUAUUAGGGAAGAACAAAUGUGUAAGUAACUAUGCACGUCUUGACGGUACCUAAUCAGAAAGCCACGGCUAACUACGUG
RNAcentral lists this ribosomal RNA (497 nucleotides) under uncultured bacterium. Its description in RNAcentral is "partial 16S ribosomal RNA". It matches the Rfam family "Bacterial small subunit ribosomal RNA", at positions 28 to 507 of the family's 1533-position model. The record is from RNAcentral.